This 244-nucleotide ribosomal RNA is filed under the name Allogromiina sp. A109. RNAcentral describes it as "partial 18S ribosomal RNA". It matches the Rfam family "Eukaryotic small subunit ribosomal RNA", at positions 1207 to 1396 of the family's 1831-position model. Lineage: Eukaryota; Foraminifera; Allogromiidae. The record is from RNAcentral.
GGGAAAUCUUACCGGGUCCGGACACACUGAGGAUUGACAGGUGAACGUAGUUAGCUUGCUAUCUACUGCAAAUAUGCUAGUCCUUUCAUGAUUGUGUGAUAGGUGGUGCAUGGCCGUUCUUAGUUCGUGGAGUGAUCUGUCUGCUUAAUUGCGUUUCAGAUAAAGGUCUUUUGUAGUGCGUCUUUGGUGUGACCGUCUUCGGACGAUGUCCCCAUUGGCGGCUCAUUGACUUUGAAGGCAACGA